GUGGGUACAGCUCAGAGGUAGGGCUCAUGCUUAGUACGCAUGAGAUCUUGGGUUCAAUCCCCAGUACUUCCA
This 72-nucleotide transfer RNA is filed under the name Camelus bactrianus (Bactrian camel). It matches the Rfam family "tRNA". From Rfam's summary of the family: Transfer RNA (tRNA) molecules are approximately 80 nucleotides in length. The record is from Rfam by way of RNAcentral. Lineage: Eukaryota; Metazoa; Chordata; Mammalia; Artiodactyla; Camelidae. RNAcentral also lists the same sequence under 1 other name.